Myzus persicae (green peach aphid) is the source of this 781-nucleotide long non-coding RNA. RefSeq lists it as uncharacterized. The transcript has 3 exons. NCBI's taxonomy places the organism in Eukaryota, Metazoa, Arthropoda, Insecta, Hemiptera, Aphididae. The record is from RefSeq and is a predicted model, not a curated record.
CCGACCGUUCGUACCGGCAAUAGUCAAUCGCAUCUGCCGAGACAGGAGAAGUCGCGACCCGAUGAAGACGAAAAGACGACGACGGUGACGACGACGACCUGCGGACUUGAGACGACUCCGACUGCAGCGGUAUUCAUAUCAUGGUAUCGUGGCCAGGUGUAGCAGAGACGGCCAUUAUAUUAUAACGUGUAGGUACACUCGUAAUGCGUGUGACGAGACUCACGGAUUUACGUCUGGAGAAUUCGAAUCAACGGAUUAUAAUGUGCCCUCGAUGUACACAGACGACGAACCAACGUUGCGUACUGCAUAAUAUAUCAUUCCGACACAAUAUAACCGAAAUGGUACUGCACCGCGGAUGUGAAGAGGAAAUGAAAAACAAUAAUAAAGAUGUGCCACACCGCACGGCGUUGACGUACGAGCUGCUCUGUCCGUCCUUCCGUCCUCGUCCAGGCACCGAUGCAGAGCUGCAAAUGUCGACGAAUUCGACGAAUAAUGCAUGGCACCCUGUACGUAUACUAAAUGUAUCCUGAGUGCAUUAUAAAACUGUCCGGUAUACCUUCAGUAUACGUAACAGGGUGCCAUACCGAUCUUCCAGAAGUGGUCCCGUGACGAGUUCUGCGCCGCAUCACUACACGAAGUCGCCUCUUCGCGUACAAUUUGAUGACAUUUUUUUUACACAUAUUUAUAUGUAUACAUAGUAUCGCCAUUCGUCGGGUGUUACCGUAAAUACAUGCAAAAUAAUUAGAUUGUUACAAGAAAAAAAUCAACGCGCAUAUUAUAU